RNAcentral lists this ribosomal RNA (502 nucleotides) under uncultured Lysobacteraceae bacterium. RNAcentral describes it as "bacterial SSU rRNA". It matches the Rfam family "Bacterial small subunit ribosomal RNA", at positions 1005 to 1505 of the family's 1533-position model. Lineage: Bacteria; Pseudomonadati; Pseudomonadota; Gammaproteobacteria; Lysobacterales; Lysobacteraceae. The record is from RNAcentral.
AAGCUCAUUUUGUAGCAAUACACCGCUGAUAAGGUGCUGCAUGGCUGUCGUCAGCUCGUGCCGUGAGAUGUUGGGUUAAGUCCCGCAACGAGCGCAACCCUUGUCCCUAGUUGCCAGCACGUAAUGGUGGGAACUCUAGGGAGACUGCCGGUGACAAACCGGAGGAAGGUGGGGAUGACGUCAAGUCCUCAUGGCCCUUACGGCCAGGGCUACACACGUACUACAAUGGUCGGUACAGAGGGUUGCCAAGCCGCGAGGCGGAGCCAAUCCCAGAAAACCGAUCCCAGUCCGGAUUGGAGUCUGCAACUCGACUCCAUGAAGUCGGAAUCGCUAGUAAUCGCGAAUCAGCUAUGUCGCGGUGAAUACGUUCCCGGGCCUUGUACACACCGCCCGUCACACCAUGGGAGUUGGCUGCACCAGAAGCAGGUAGUCUAACCGCAAGGAGGACGCCUACCACGGUGUGGUCAAUGACUGGGGUGAAGUCGUAACAAGGUAGCCGUAA